GGUUACGCCGAACUGCGACAUCGUGCCAGUGCCAGGGCUCCGCUCGUGCGCUGUGCCGCGCAUGCGCAGCGUCACUCCUCCAUGUAGGUUUGACGGUUGACCCUCGGCGGUGUGCGUCUGCAAGUAUCUGAAAGGAGGUGACCGCAAUAUAUUAUUGCUACUGGUUGACAUAAAGAGGGCAGUGAAAUCUCUUGAUCAACGACUGCAAGUAGUGGAACGUUUCAUCGAAAGAAUUUCCCAGGAGAAAGGAAUUGCAAAGCCAAACUUUCCCGAACUCCCAAUUCAGACAUGCAGUGAGCUACUUGAUCUUGAAACGUCACUGUCAGAUGAGCAAGCCAAAGUAUACCUGAUUGGAAAGCUCUCUCGUCUGGGCGGAAACUCGCUGACUGAAAGUGCCCGAGUCCUGGUGAAAAAUCUUAUACAGAGCAGCGUUGCGUUUCAAUACAGCUUAAGGGGGGCACAACAGAAAAAAAAAAAAAGACUUUCCCGCAUUGCGAGUCUACUCCUGCAUUACUGAGGUACUACUGAAACGACACAACAUCGUGGAAAGGAUUGGGAGGUACUUAGCCGGCGCACCUGACCGGGAGGGAGGACGAGAAGCCCGCAAAAGAAAGACACAAGCCAAACCAGCAGCGAAUAGACUUUCAUCCUGUGAUAACUUGUAAUCAAUAAAGUGUGUAGAACAUGCAG
Ornithodoros turicata is the source of this 690-nucleotide long non-coding RNA. RefSeq lists it as uncharacterized. The transcript has 4 exons. The record is from RefSeq and is a predicted model, not a curated record. Lineage: Eukaryota; Metazoa; Arthropoda; Arachnida; Ixodida; Argasidae.